Molecule: ribosomal RNA, 207 nt
Filed under: uncultured bacterium
Lineage: Bacteria
Description: partial 16S ribosomal RNA
Rfam family: Bacterial small subunit ribosomal RNA
Source: RNAcentral
CUCGUAGGCGGCCAACUAAGUCAGACGUGAAAUCCCUCGGCUUAACCGGGAAACUGCGUCUGAUACUGGAUGGCUUGAGUUUGGGAGAGGGAUGCGGAAUUCCAGGUGUAGCGGUGAAAUGCGUAGAUAUCUGGAGGAACACCGGUGGCGAAGGCGGCAUCCUGGACCAACACUGACGCUGAUGAGCGAAAGCCAGGGGAGCAAACG